ACGCUGGCGGCAGGCCUAACACAUGCAAGUCGAGCGGUAGAGAGAAGCUUGCUUCUCUUGAGAGCGGCGGACGGGUGAGUAAUGCCUAGGAAUCUGCCUGGUAGUGGGGGAUAACGUUCGGAAACGGACGCUAAUACCGCAUACGUCCUACGGGAGAAAGCAGGGGACCUUCGGGCCUUGCGCUAUCAGAUGAGCCUAGGUCGGAUUAGCUAGUUGGUGAGGUAAUGGCUCACCAAGGCGACGAUCCGUAACUGGUCUGAGAGGAUGAUCAGUCACACUGGAACUGAGACACGGUCCAGACUCCUACGGGAGGCAGCAGUGGGGAAUAUUGCACAAUGGGCGCAAGCCUGAUGCAGCCAUGCCGCGUGUGUGAAGAAGCCCUUAGGGUUGUAAAGCACUUUCAGCGAGGAGGAAGGCGUUGUGGUUAAUAGCUGCAACGAUUGACGUUACUCGCAGAAGAAGCACCGGCUAACUCCGUGCCAGCAGCCGCGGUAAUACGGAGGGUGCAAGCGUUAAUCGGAAUUACUGGGCGUAAAGCGCACGCAGGCGGUUUGUUAAGUCAGAUGUGAAAUCCCCGAGCUUAACUUGGGAACUGCAUUUGAAACUGGCAAGCUAGAGUCUUGUAGAGGGGGGUAGAAUUCCAGGUGUAGCGGUGAAAUGCGUAGAGAUCUGGAGGAAUACCGGUGGCGAAGGCGGCCCCCUGGACAAAGACUGACGCUCAGGUGCGAAAGCGUGGGGAGCAAAC
RNAcentral lists this ribosomal RNA (745 nucleotides) under uncultured bacterium. Its description in RNAcentral is "bacterial SSU rRNA". It matches the Rfam family "Bacterial small subunit ribosomal RNA", at positions 33 to 773 of the family's 1533-position model. The record is from RNAcentral.